RNAcentral lists this transfer RNA (74 nucleotides) under Candidatus Bathyarchaeota archaeon. RNAcentral's name for it is "tRNA-Gly". It matches the Rfam family "tRNA". Rfam says of the family: Transfer RNA (tRNA) molecules are approximately 80 nucleotides in length. Lineage: Archaea; Thermoproteati; Candidatus Bathyarchaeota. The record is from RNAcentral.
GCGACUGUAGUCUAGCGGUAUGAUUUCUGCCUGCCACGCAGACGGCCCGGGUUCGAAUCCCGGCAGUCGCACCA